Dermacentor silvarum is the source of this 947-nucleotide long non-coding RNA. RefSeq lists it as uncharacterized. The record is from RefSeq and is a predicted model, not a curated record. NCBI's taxonomy places the organism in Eukaryota, Metazoa, Arthropoda, Arachnida, Ixodida, Ixodidae. The transcript has 4 exons.
GUGAAGGGUACUCUUCGCUGAUUACCAAGUGUCAUGAGAAAUCCACUGAUCAACAGUGGGCGAACAAAGGAAGCCUCAGCCUCCUGACUCUCAUGUAGGAGAAUCCCAAGCAAAUGGCAAAGGGUAAAGUGAGGGCUAUGUAAAAGAUAUGAAAAUGAGCGAAGUGAAGUACCUAUUAGUCAUGAUAGUGGGAGAACCCAAUGCGAAACCUUCAGACAAAUUUGGACUGCCGAAAAAGUACUGUUUCGCCAUCAAAUUUCCUUCGGUAAAGAACAAUUUGUCCAAGCCAAAUAAAUGUUUCUACAGAAUAAUCUCCCAGUCUAAAGAAGCUUAGUGCUGUAGCUUUCUAGUAUUGAAUGAGGUUUUAUAUCCGUUAAUUUUAGUUGUGCAACUGUAAGGAAACAUGCUUGAGAUCGAACGACGCCAUGUUUCGCAGCUCUUGAAGGAGAUGUCUCUUGCUUCUCCGCCUGCCUACGGCGAUAGACAUAUUGUGAUGGUUACACAUAUUGUCACGGUGUAUUGCGCAUACACCUCAGGCGCAAGUGGUGGAGACUCUGCGCAAGUUCCUGACGCUGAACGCCGGGACCAUCGUCGUCUGCUGUGGUGGCCAUGUGGCGGGCGCCCACUUUCUAUCCCGCAAUAUUCGUGUGGAGGGGGUUCACAACGCCGACGAGGAACGGUCCGUGCGCAAUCGAGCAUUCCUGCAGCCUGCCAUCUUCUACAUAGCACUGGCCAUGUUGAAGGCAGUCAUCUUGUAUCAAAUCUACAUAUUCUACCAGGACUGCAAGAUGAACCCUCCGACGCAGGGAGCUAUCUUCGUUUUGAACCCAUUUACAAAAUAUCCAGCUGUGAUUGUUCCCGGCAUUCCGGCGGCGCCUGCCCAGGUCCAAAUGGCACCUUCUCCGAGUCGGCCAUCGUAAAUUUUAUGCAUAGCGUCGAUGCCUUAG